RNAcentral lists this long non-coding RNA (2756 nucleotides) under Solanum tuberosum (potato). Its description in RNAcentral is "long non-coding RNA (STUB_LNC004170)". The record is from RNAcentral. Lineage: Eukaryota; Viridiplantae; Streptophyta; Magnoliopsida; Solanales; Solanaceae.
GAGUGUCUUGGACUCCCUCCUGACUUCCUAUCAAACUACAGAAAUGAUCGUUCUCGGGACUCAUUGAUGGGCCUCCACUACUUUCCAGCGACAGAAGAUGACAACACAGGAAAACCUGCACAUGAAGAUCCUGGCUGCUUCACUAUUCUCUACCAGGAUGAAAUCGGAGGCCUUCAGGUGCACAAAGAUGACCAGUGGAUAUCCAUAGCGCCUUCCAAAAACAAACUAGUUGUUAACAUUGGUGAUGUCAUUCAGGCAUUUAUAAUUCCACUCUUGGUUAUAGAUUUCACAUUUACCAUUAUCCCAAAAUUUUAACUUCUUAUGUUGUUGACAUAUAAAAAGGUGCUAAGCAACAAUAAAUUCAAGAGUGCAACUCACAAAGUGGUGAGAUCAAGUGAAACAAACCGUUACUCGUACGUGUUCUUCUAUAAUGUGCACGGAGACAAGUGGGUUGAGCCAUUACCACAAUUUACAAAGGAAAUUGGAGAGUCGCCCAAGUACAGAGGAUUCGUGUUUGAAGAAUAUCAUCAGUUGAGAUUCAGAAACAGGAGUCAUCCACCAGCUAGACCUGAAGAUCUCAUCCAUAUAACACACUACUCAAUUUCUAAUUAGAGGACAAGUUUUAUCUAAUGAAAAGUUCUCUCUAUAUGGAAAGAAACAUACCAAUAAUAUGUAUUACGUCACUCCUAAUAUGUAUGUCAAAGUGUGUGACCACCUCAUUUAAUAAUUUAAAUGAGCACACAUUUAUUUUCUAAAUUAUGUUAAACACGUCUUUCACCGUACAAGUCUGAUUUAUUGAAUAGGAAUCCUCAAUUUAUAUCUAUGUGUCUUGCUGCUGCUUGUUGUUACUGAUUCAAAAUAAUCAAAUUGCAGAUCUUGUUUCUUUUCUUUUCCGAAUAACGUCAAGUACUACUACUCCUUCAUAUUGUUUACUUUUGUUGACAAUGCAUCUGUUUUAUAAAAUCUAACUCCCUAUUAAAGCUAUAUGGAAUCCAGAUUAUUGAGAUUUUCUUAUGAACAAAUCCUUGAUACUGCUAAAAAAAUACUUCAGACAAAUGAGAAAGAGUACUAAUUUAGAUUAAUCUGUAAAUUAUAAUAGUAAAAUGAGGUGAAAUCACGUGAAGUUGAUAAAUUGAAGGAUCCAGUCCCUUUUUCUAUGGGGAGUUAAAUUAUUUGAGUUAAUUAAUAUGUAACUAUACUUGUCCUUUUUAAUAAUGGAAAUCAAUUUUUUGUGUGUAAUCUUGUACUAAUAAGAUUUGUCUUAGCAAUAUUGAAUGUUGUAAGUAAUAAGGUUCUUUAAAAGUCAACAUGGAUAAUUCACUGAUUCCAAUAAUUGAUCACUCCCCGUUCUUUCUAGGAGAUGAAGAUGGCGAGAGAAAGACGAGGCAAGAAAAUAACAUUUUAAUCACACCAAAUAAUGAAGGAAUCCGUUGUUUAAGAAUGACUUAAUUUUUUGGAGUUAAACAAGGAUUUCAAUAGACUAAAGGAGAAAGAAAAAACAUAAGUUCAUUACAGGGGUUGAGGGGCAUUCCCCACUGGAAAAGUAUUGCCGUUUUAGUAUAAAAUUGUUCUAAUAAAAAAAGUUCUCACUAUGUCUGCUUGUAACGUUACUAAGGCGCACACAAGGGAACUUCAAAAAUAAUAAUGGGGUCCCCAAAGCUUCAUCCCUAAGAAGACUUUCAAGAUGAAUAGCAUUAAAGAGCCUUUUUUUUAGGUAAGAAUUUAAUUUUGGGAGAAAUAUAAAGAAAGAGAAGCAUAAUGGUUUUUUUUAAUUUUUGUUUAUUAACUAUGGGGUUUAUGUUUAUAAGAUGACAUAAAAAAUAAUUUAUUUUGUCAUGUCAAAUUUAUGUUAAUAAUAUUCAAUGACGAUUGAUAUCUACUUAAGAUAGAGAGUCCCACUAUGCCCAAGACUAUGAGGUUCUUAGCUCUACUUAAUUUCUUCCUUGUAAAUAUCUUUUUUGGUACCACUAACUUGUAAGAUCAGAAAAUGCUUAUAAAUUAAACUCAAAAGAAAAUCCAAAUAUAAGACUAAGAAGAGUGAAGAGAAUUAAGAAAAAUAUCAUGGCUAGUUUUGAUAUUCCAACAAUUGAUGUUUCUCCAUUUUUUAGAUCAGAUGAAAAUGGAGAAGGGAAAACGAAGGCUAUUGAGCAAAUUAGAGAAGCUUGUGUUAACUUUGGUUUCUUCCAAAUUGUGAAUCAUGGAAUUCCUUUGGAGUUGUUGAGCCAAACCAUGGAUAUGUAUAAGAAUUUCUUUGCUUGUUCUGAUGAAGAAAAACUCGCGGUACCUUCUGAUAAUUAUUUAAAAAGCACAAAGAAUUCAGUUGAGAACUUGGUGUUUCGUUUUCCAUUCUCUGUCGUGGAUGUCUGCCCCAACAAACUACCUCAUUUCAAGUACUAAUAUAUUCUCUCUUGAUUGCAACUCAAAUUAGUUGUUUCUAGUUUUUUGCAUUUUCAGAAUGUUGCCUAAUAAAUAUGUUUUGAUAUUGUUAGGCAAGUAUUGGAUGAUAUGAUUUCCCAGUUCACAAAAUUAGGAGUUGUGUUGGAAGGAAUCAUAAGUGAGUGUCUUGGACUCCCUCCUGACUUCCUAUCAAACUACAGAAAUGAUCGUUCUCGGGACUCAUUGAUGGGCCUCCACUACUUUCCAGCGACAGAAGAUGACAACACAGGAAAACCUGCACAUGAAGAUCCUGGCUGCUUCACUAUUCUCUACCAGGAUGAAAUCGGAGGCCUUCAGGUGCACAAAGAUGACCAGUGGAU